RNAcentral lists this ribosomal RNA (161 nucleotides) under Eucalyptus leucoxylon (white ironbark). RNAcentral describes it as "5.8S ribosomal RNA". It matches the Rfam family "5.8S ribosomal RNA". Rfam says of the family: 5.8S ribosomal RNA (5.8S rRNA) is a component of the large subunit of the eukaryotic ribosome. It is transcribed by RNA polymerase I as part of the 45S precursor that also contains 18S and 28S rRNA. RNAcentral also lists the same sequence under 4 other names. Lineage: Eukaryota; Viridiplantae; Streptophyta; Magnoliopsida; Myrtales; Myrtaceae. The record is from RNAcentral.
UAACGACUCUCGGCAACGGAUAUCUCGGCUCUCGCAUCGAUGAAGAACGUAGCGAACUGCGAUACUUGGUGUGAAUUGCAGAAUCCCGUGAACCAUCGAGUCUUUGAACGCAAGUUGCGCCCGAAACCUUUGGUCGAGGGCACGUUUGCCUGGGUGUCACA